GAUCGAGAAAGAGAUCGGAAGCUAAGAAUUCGAAUGGACAAAAUUAAUUUGCACACAGCUGCAUUCAAUUAUGACCUGCACACAAUUUUUAUCGUAAGGCAUAAAUUGUGUGAGCCCCAAACAUGUUACCAGGCAAAUCAGGCAAACCAGGCAAAUCACACUUUGGUACGUCAAGACUCGCAAGGGGAACGUGAGCCCCACCCAACUAAUACGCCGGAGAGCAGCUCUACAAGGACCAAACCGUCGACAACUGGGAUUUCAAAUUUUUCGAUAGAGACAGCAUUUAUUGCUCGUUCGCAGAUCAUAAUGUCUACGAUACUAGCUCAUGUGGUGGACAAUUGUGGAAGCCAGACGUUUUGCCGAUUUCUGCUGGAUUCGGGUUCAACUAUUAUUUUUGCACCUCUUACCCACGCACGUAUUUCGGUAAUUGGGCUUUCUACGCAAGCCGCUAGAGUAACUGGCGGGGUUUCCAAAAAUACAAUUGCAAUCCCGAGUCUCGACGGAUGUCCAGGAAAUAAAAGCGCCGACUAUGAGUUCUGUAACCACGUCAGUACUACCCAAAGAGUUACACACAAGCAACUGGGAAGCUCUACAAGGGUAAUGUUACCCGAUCCCACCUUCGCCACUUUCGAGUUUUUUAUAGUCCAACGAAAAUUGAUAAGUAAACCUAAUACAUUUGCACUAAACACAAUUAUUGAUUGGAUAAUUGUAGGCUCGGAUCCCUUAUGUGAAUGAGUCACCAAAGCCAGUGCAAAUUGGUUUGGAUGAGAUGGUGAGGAGGUUCAUGGAGAUGGAUACAAUCCAGCCUAGAAGGAAGGAAAAGGCAAUAUUGUGCCUUUUUGGAAGAUUAUCUACAGCGCGGACAUAUGGAAGCACUCAAGGAACAGCAACUAAUCUUGCCAAAAGAUCAACGUUGUUACCUUGCCCUUGCAGUCGUCAAAGCUAAAAGCUACCUUUUCUUGGUCGGAGUCCUAUUGGCCGACCUCCACCAAAAACCAGAAUAUACAGAUGCACCCAGGUGGACUUUGCGAGGAAAAAUCUAAUAAGGAAAUAAACUUUACUCUGAAAGCUCAUUCUCAUCCGGAUUUUCUCGACAGUUAAUUCCAUAAACUUUCGUCUUGGAAUCAACUAUUGCGCUUUGUCAGCUAUAUUUUUCGAUUUAUACAACGCAUACGCCCCAAAUGUACCGCCAUUCUUAGUAAAAGCUUAACAUUUUAAAUUGAAACUUACAGAUGAUACCUAACAGCUAAGGACUUGCAAAACGCUUGAGAAAGGCUUUUGAAGCACAUGCAACUUACGGCUUUUCUACAAGAUUACGGCGCAGCCGGGAAAGAUCAGAGACUGAAAAGAAAAUCAAAAUUGCUGAAAUAGACGCCGUUUUUGGAUGCUUCCGGAAUAUUACGAAUCGGAAGACGUAUUGACCGAUCGAAGUAAUCAUUCAUUGCCUUGCUGAUUGGGCGCUACCUUCACAAAAAAAAAAAAAAAGGUUUUGUGCCCGUCGCAAAACACCGUCAAUCAAGCUGCAUCUGCGCCGAGUCCGAGGAGUUGCACUCACUUUUGAAGAUCUGUCAACCGUUCUUGCCCAAACACAGCCUCGAUACACUGACGCCAGCCCGUUUUUUGGUAGGACAGCAGUACACUACAGUGUCUAAUCAAUCGUUUUUGGACUCCCAGAUGAUUCGAGCGAUGGAAUCAGCUGCAGGCCAUGGUGGAAGAAUUCUGGACGCGAUGGCACACUGAAUACUUCACUCCUCUACCCAGAACAGGAUUCUAAGGUCCGAGUGGUGACUGUCAAUACGGCCAAUGGGGUCUACAAGCGCCCUAUUGCUAAGAUCGCCGUUCUCUCUUUCAACUUAAUUAACGUUAAGUUUAUCACGUAUCGCCACUAACAGGCACACUAAAAUAGAAAUUCGAGCAGGCCGGCAUGCAGCUUAACUUUGUAGGACUUUGAUACCAAAUAAUAUUCGGAAGCAGCAUUCGUAUUUGUAUAUGUAUGUUCUUUCAACACCGUUGAAAUCACUUCCACUUUCAAGUGCGGGAUACUUAAACAACUCUUCAGUACCAAUCCCUAAAGAUUCCCUAUGGAAUGCUUAGGGAGUCGCCGUGAAUUCCCGAGGAUUCUCGAGGAAUGCUCCAUACAAAACGUGUAUGAAGCAGGCGUUCGCGGCGAUAAUCUCGAAAAUAAAAUCUGAGUGAAUUUGCCUUCGAAUUCCAAAAAUCCCGGGAAUUUCCCAGGAAACCCUAGUAAAAAACCUAAUAAAUU
This is a long non-coding RNA of Drosophila gunungcola (fruit fly), 2263 nucleotides long. RefSeq lists it as uncharacterized. The record is from RefSeq and is a predicted model, not a curated record. NCBI's taxonomy places the organism in Eukaryota, Metazoa, Arthropoda, Insecta, Diptera, Drosophilidae. The transcript has 3 exons.